Molecule: ribosomal RNA, 468 nt
Filed under: uncultured bacterium
Lineage: Bacteria
Description: partial 16S ribosomal RNA
Rfam family: Bacterial small subunit ribosomal RNA
Source: RNAcentral
GACGAACGCUGGCGGCGUGCUUAACACAUGCAAGUCGAACGGAAAGGCCCUGCUUUUGUGGGGUGCUCGAGUGGCGAACGGGUGAGUAACACGUGAGUAACCUGCCCUUGACUUUGGGAUAACUUCAGGAAACUGGGGCUAAUACCGGAUAGGAGCUCCUGCUGCAUGGUGGUGGUUGGAAAGUUUCGGCGGUUGGGGAUGGACUCGCGGCUUAUCAGCUUGUUGGUGGGGUAGUGGCUUACCAAGGCUUUGACGGGUAGCCGGCCUGAGAGGGUGACCGGCCACAUUGGGACUGAGAUACGGCCCAGACUUCUACGGGAGGCAGCAGUGGGGAAUAUUGCACAAUGGGCGGAAGCCUGAUGCAGCAACGCCGCGUGCGGGAUGACGGCCUUCGGGUUGUAAACCGCUUUCGCCUGUGACGAAGCGUGAGUGACGGUAAUGGGUAAAGAAGCACCGGCUAACUACGUG